UGCGCAGAGCCGGGAAGGGCGUGGCCUACGGGACGGACAGUCCAGCAGUUGGGAUGUUGUUGUCUUCAUUCCUCCGGGAGAUUUCUCCUCCCGCGACGCCCCCUGGAUUUCUCUCCAUUUCAAAUAAGCGACUAGAACUUCCGCAGUGAGAGCAGGAUGGAAUGAGGCUUGUUUCUAGGAGGGGAGAGCCAUCGUGAGACCUCUGCGGGGAAGCUGACAGCAGGGUUGCCUGGGCCCCCUCCCCCAGUGCGGCUGCCACGGGCUUUGGCGUCCAGGAGCCCAGGAACGUGUGACCACAAGCCCCGGUGACUCCACCUAACACCGGGAUCCACGUGGUCCUGUUAACUUUAAAAAACAAAACUGCCAGUUGCUUUACCAGCAGCAAAAAAAAUGGGUGCAGAGUUGCCGGGCAAGCAAGCUGUCGGCAAAACCAUCAGCAAGUCCCCCAAACUAAGGGCUGCGUGCUCUUUUAUAGAGGAAAGGGGGAAGUCGGGAGAGGCUGUCGUAAACAAAAAGUCCAUUGGAGUCCGCUGGGGAUUCGAAACACAGUAGCUUCUCAUUGGCUGGCUGUUGCUGGGGCGAGUGGAAAGUCUUCCGCGGAGGUAAUGAAGCCUAUUCACCUACCCAGGUCCACUGUCUCUUCCUGUUGGAUUUGCAAUUAAGGACAAAUGGUAGAGCGUGAGACCUGCCCCAGCCGAACCUCCCAACUCCAUUUUAGUAAGAUUUCCCUUUACUAACUUUCACAUUGGAUCCAAGUGAUCAGUAUUUGUGGAUUUGGUUCCGUUCACUCCCUGACCCCCAAAGAAGUGGCAUCUCCUUCCAAGGGCAGAACUGUGCUAUAGCAACAGGACGUGAUGCCUUUCAGUCCCAGCAAUGACAGGAACAAGUUGACAGAUGCAGGCUUAAGUCAAUGGUCAGCACCAAACCUGUGCUUGGCAACCUCAGCCACCAUUUCCCAGGCUUCCCCGACCACCUGCCCCUGGAGUGUCCACGCCUCUGUCCAUCACCGACACCACUCCCCUAACAGCUUAUCGUCUGACUCUGGCAUUAGGAUGUACACUCUGCGAGAACAGGGUCCCGGCCUGGUGCCCUGCUCUAACCCCAGGACUUUGAACAGUGGCUGGUCCAGCGCAAACCCUAAAUCUGACAGAAGGGGCGCCUGGG
Molecule: long non-coding RNA, 1164 nt
Organism: Mustela erminea (ermine)
Lineage: Eukaryota; Metazoa; Chordata; Mammalia; Carnivora; Mustelidae
Exons: 3
Source: RefSeq, a predicted model, not a curated record